Molecule: ribosomal RNA, 463 nt
Filed under: uncultured bacterium
Lineage: Bacteria
Description: bacterial SSU rRNA
Rfam family: Bacterial small subunit ribosomal RNA
Source: RNAcentral
AGAAUUGAUCUGGUCAGAACGAACGCUGGCGGCAGGCUUAACACAUGCAAGUCGAACGCUGUAGCAAUACAGAGUGGCAGACGGGUGAGUAACGCGUGGGAACGUGCCCUUCGGUUCGGAAUAACUCAGGGAAACUUGAGCUAAUACCGGAUACGUGCGAGAGCAGAAAGAUUUAUCGCCGAAGGAUCGGCCCGCGUCCGAUUAGCUAGUUGGUGAGGUAACGGCUCACCAAGGCGACGAUCGGUAGCUGGUCCUGAGAGGAUGAUCAGCCACACUGGGACUGAGACACGGCCCAGACUCCUACGGGAGGCAGCAGUGGGGAAUAUUGGACAAUGGGCGAAAGCCUGAUCCAAGCCAUGCCGCGUGAGUGAUGAAGGCCCUAGGGUUGUAAAGCUCUUUCGCCUAGGACGAUAAUGACGGUACCUGGAUAAGAAGCCCCGGCUAACUUCGUGCCAGCAGCAGC